CCCAUGCAUAGCGGGACUAAAUCGUCGGGCUGGCUAUGCUACUGUAUGUUCUCAAAACUACAGGGUGUCCCAAAAAAACCGAAAACUAUUGAAAUCACUUAUUGUUAAAUUUGAAUGCCCUACCAAACAGCUGGACGUAAUGAUGCGUAAAAUAUUGACAAGGUGCAUGUAUUAGAAUUUAGUUAGGAAUAUCUCUUGGUAAAGUGCGCAAUUUUCUGCUCCUGGGAAUUAAAAACAGCUUCUUAAACAGUUUCUUUAUGCAUAAAAAUUACUUAUGUCAAUCAUUUAUGCACACGUGGGAACCAACAGAGCGCUAAGGCAUUCAAAUUCUAACAAUUAAAUUGUUAUUAGUGAUAUCAAUAGUUUUCGUUUUUUUGGGACACCCUGUAGAAAAGUGAUAUUUGAAAACGCUCUAUCUUGCCAUAAGCUAAUGGUAUGCAUAUCGGAAGAACGUUUUCAACUAAAUAAAAGAUAGAAACAUGCAGGAUACGUUACUCAUACAUUUGAACGUGUAACAGAAUAACUAUGUUUAUGUAUGUGACACAGAUCAGCAUUGGGUUCUGUAUUUGUAAAAAAAUAUAAUUGAACUAUAACCAACAUUAUAUCUCAUUUGUGUCGGUGUUCUUUGAUCGUCCAAGGUUUAUAACUAGCUAAUAUACCUUGAAUAAAUAAUUACAUCAAACUUUUUGACAAAACGCGAGAAUUUUUCAUCAAAAAUUUUUGAAAAUGACCAAAUAUGUUAGAAAACCUCUACAAAUGAGAUAUAUGUUAGUUAUAAACCUCGAAAGUCGGUUUAUAACUGAUAUAUUGCCCUCGGACGCUGCGCGUCCUCGGGGGCAAUAUAUCAGUUAUAAACCUCCUUCUCAGUUUAUAACUCUAACUUCUGAAACGUGGAUGAACAUCGAUGAUAGCAAGGGGCAUGAAGCAAGCAAUAUGGCAAAAACAAAACGUCAGUAAAUACUUUCACCGAAUCACUAUCUAUCUGGAAUACAAUCUAGACAUAGAGACAGGAUGCAUUUGAACUUUCAAUCACGAAAGCAUAUUUUUCUAUCUGUGGAAAAUGACGUUGAAAUUCAACCUCCAUUUUGCGACGUAGUGAAACACUGAUGAAAGCAAUAAUUAUAACUACUAUGAAUAAAAUGCCAACCUUUUGCUCCUACCUUAAUCUGGACGACAGAACAAUAUGUGUUCUUCACUCGUAUAUACUCUGAGUGAACAAAGAAAUGAGGGAAAUAAAUUAAUGGCUGAUAUACCAGUUAUAAAUAUUAACACCUUCAGCUGACUAUUUCGAACGGAGUAUAUUUGUGUCAUGCCAUGCAUUCUCGUUCACUAAAAACUGCAAAAUCAUCUGUUAUUCAAAAACUUCAAUUAAAUUAAACAUAGACUUAUAACAUUCCAACGGCAAAGAGACGGGUAAAGUGAGGCUUAUAGCGGUGCAACAGUUGUGAUUAAUGGCUUUAACUAUAGAUAUUUGUGCUGCAUGGUUUGAAACACCGAAAAUGAAACGGCGGCUUUUGCUCCCACAGUGACAAAUGUUACCAAAUCAGGUGCGUGGAAAGGCAUCCUAGUAACAAAACCGUCCAGGAAUCCGUAAUUAACUCUUGUGGUUAUGAGAGCUUUCAAAAAUAUAUGGGAUAAUCGGUGAGAUAAAAACAAUCAUUAUAUAUAACGACUAUGACUAUGUACAUCAUGUACACGCGAAUGUGGUUCAAUUGUGGUGCGCAUGUUGUUGGUAUACGGAAGCUCGAUAUCAGACGAACUAAAAUUAGGAUUCUGCAAAAACUACGAAAAGAAUUGUUGUAGUUCCACAAGGUAGUUCAAGAACGUUGCCGGAAUGUUGGUAAAGACUAAAGGUAGAUAACUAAGAACAUUAUGAACAGAAACUUGUUGUUCCAAGGCUUAAAUUUUAGAAACAUUUUCUACUAUAAUAUAUCGUUUAAUAUUCUACAAUUUUAAUAAUUUUAUUGACCUUUUUUCUUAAAUAAUAACAUACAAUAAAGUUGCAUGAGAGCUAGAUGUUAGAAUUUCAAGAGCUGCUGAAGCUUUAAGAUAUCUUGUAAAACAAACUGUUGAUAGCAUUUUUGUUAAAUAGUUUUCAACGAUGUAUCACCAACGUUCAAU
RNAcentral lists this long non-coding RNA (2121 nucleotides) under Paramuricea clavata. Lineage: Eukaryota; Metazoa; Cnidaria; Anthozoa; Malacalcyonacea; Plexauridae. The record is from RNAcentral.